AUUGGUUGGCUAAGGAAAGAAAUUAAAGAUUGCCCAUAGGAAAGAAAUUUGAUGUUCUGUGAUUUCAACGCCAGCUUGUUUGAAGGCAUUUGAUCACCAUCCUCUCUAUCCAGUAGAGCAUCACAAAGAACUUCCAGGAGUGAGACAAGUGGAAAACAGGAAGGGAAAAGUGGUGACUUGGAGGCUGGAUACCCAGUGCUUCUUCUGAAAUGACUUAUUCACCAAGUGGCACUGAUUAUAAAGGCAUGAAGACAUCAUGGACAGCCACCGAGUCUUGUCACCAUGUGACAGGGAUGGAUUUCCUGAAGACAUGCUAGAAGAAGCUACUGGUAUAGGUAGAACCCAGUUGCUACAAGGUACCCCAGUAUCUGGGGCAUGUAAGUACCAUAGGAUAACCAGCAAGAUCAACAGCAGCCAUGGGUGGAGAUAGCCAUAACCUAGAACACUAACUGUAUAUUUGCUGCAGAGUGCAAAGCUAGA
This is a long non-coding RNA of Mastomys coucha (southern multimammate mouse), 480 nucleotides long. RefSeq lists it as uncharacterized. The record is from RefSeq and is a predicted model, not a curated record. The transcript has 3 exons. NCBI's taxonomy places the organism in Eukaryota, Metazoa, Chordata, Mammalia, Rodentia, Muridae.